GAAGCAUCACGUUGCUGUGUGAGCUAGAGGAAGGAAAAAGAAAACCAAGAACGAAGCAGCUUGUCUUGAAGUAUUGUUGUUCCUUUCAGUCUUGUCAGACUUGCAAGCUGUCCUCAGUUGAAGAGCUGUUCUUUGACCUCACUUAAAUGUUGUAAUUACAUAUUGCUUUCACUCCAAAGAAAAAUGCAAGGUAUCUUCUAACCAGUAUCAAAGUUCUGCCUGUGGCCCUCAAAGGAAGGAAACUGCCAACACAACAUACAUGUGCAUCCAGAAAUCUCAAAAUCAGCAAAAGGAACCUUGGUACAGGUGGAAGCUGAGCUGCUCCAGCGUGGGUGCGAGGACAUAA
Molecule: long non-coding RNA, 346 nt
Filed under: Numida meleagris (helmeted guineafowl)
Lineage: Eukaryota; Metazoa; Chordata; Aves; Galliformes; Numididae
Description: lncRNA (ENSNMEG00000013988.1)
Source: RNAcentral